This 446-nucleotide ribosomal RNA is filed under the name uncultured bacterium. Its description in RNAcentral is "bacterial SSU rRNA". It matches the Rfam family "Bacterial small subunit ribosomal RNA", at positions 330 to 792 of the family's 1533-position model. The record is from RNAcentral.
UCCAGACUCCUACGGGAGGCAGCAGUGGGGGAUAUUGCACAAUGGGGGAAACCCUGAUGCAGCGACGCCGCGUGAGUGAAGAAGUAUUUCGGUAUGUAAAGCUCUAUCAGCAGGGAAGAAAAAAGACGGUACCUGACUAAGAAGCCCCGGCUAACUACGUGCCAGCAGCCGCGGUAAUACGUAGGGGGCAAGCGUUAUCCGGAUUUACUGGGUGUAAAGGGAGCGUAGACGGCAAUACAAGUCGGAAGUGAAAUACCCGGGCUUAACCUGGGAACUGCUUUGGAAACUGUAUGGCUGGAGUGCUGGAGAGGUAAGCGGAAUUCCUAGUGUAGCGGUGAAAUGCGUAGAUAUUAGGAGGAACACCAGUGGCGAAGGCGGCUUACUGGACAGUAACUGACGUUGAGGCUCGAAAGCGUGGGGAGCAAACAGGAUUAGAUCCCCUAGUA